CCUACGGGAGGUAGCAGUGGGGGAUAUUGCACAAUGGGGGAAACCCUGAUGCAGCGACGCCGCGUGUGGGAAGACGGUCCUCUGGAUUGUAAACCACUGUCCCCAGGGACGAAGAUGACGGUACCUGGGGAGGACGCUCCGGCCAACUACGUGCCAGCAGCCGCGGUAAUACGUAGGGAGCGAGCGUUGUACGGAAUUACUGGGUGUAAAGGGAGCGUAGGCGGGGAAGCAAGUUGGUGUCAAAACUACCGGCUCAACUGGUAGUCGCACUCAAAACUGCAGCUCUUGAGGGAAGUAGAGGCAGGCGGAAUGCCUAGUGUAGCGAUGAAAUGCGUAGAUAUUAGGAGGAACUCUGGUGGCGAAGGCGGCCUGCUGGACUGUGACUGACGUUGAGGCCCGAAGGCGUGGGGAGCAAACAGGAUUAGAUACCCGGGUAGUC
RNAcentral lists this ribosomal RNA (439 nucleotides) under uncultured bacterium. RNAcentral describes it as "partial 16S ribosomal RNA". It matches the Rfam family "Bacterial small subunit ribosomal RNA", at positions 338 to 795 of the family's 1533-position model. The record is from RNAcentral.